RNAcentral lists this ribosomal RNA (559 nucleotides) under uncultured bacterium. Its description in RNAcentral is "bacterial SSU rRNA". It matches the Rfam family "Bacterial small subunit ribosomal RNA", at positions 359 to 917 of the family's 1533-position model. The record is from RNAcentral.
GGAUUGAAAUGGGGGCACCCUGAUCCAGCAUCCCGCGUGUGUNAAGAAGGCCUUCGGGUUGUCNAGCACUUUUGUCCGGAAAGAAAACCUCCGUCCUAAUACGGUGGGGGGAUGACGGUACCGGAAGAAUAAGCACCGGCUAACUACGUGCCAGCAGCCGCGGUAAUACGUAGGGUGCAAGCGUUAAUCGGAAUUACUGGGCGUAAAGCGUGCGCAGGCGGUUCGCUAAGACCGAUGUGAAAUCCCCGGGCUUAACCUGGGAACUGCAUUGGUGACUGGCGGGCUAGAGUAUGGCAGAGGGGGGUAGAAUUCCACGUGUAGCAGUGAAAUGCGUAGAGAUGUGGAGGAAUACCGAUGGCGAAGGCAGCCCCCUGGGCCAAUACUGACGCUCAUGCACGAAAGCGUGGGGAGCAAACAGGAUUAGAUACCCUGGUAGUCCACGCCCUAAACGAUGUCAACUAGUUGUCGGGUCUUCAUUGACUUGGUAACGAAGCUAACGCGUGAAGUUGACCGCCUGGGGAGUACGGUCGCAAGAUUAAAACUCAAAGAAAUUGACGGA